AUUGAACGCUGGCGGCAUGCCUUACACAUGCAAGUCGAACGGCAGCACGGGAGCAAUCCUGGUGGCGAGUGGCGAACGGGUGAGUAAAGUAUCGGAACGUGCCCAGUCGUGGGGGAUAACGUAGCGAAAGUUACGCUAAUACCGCAUACGAUCUAUGGAUGAAAGCGGGGGAUCGCAAGACCUCGCGCGAUUGGAGCGGCCGAUAUCAGAUUAGGUAGUUGGUGGGGUAAAGGCUCACCAAGCCGACGAUCUGUAGCUGGUCUGAGAGGACGACCAGCCACACUGGGACUGAGACACGGCCCAGACUCCUACGGGAGGCAGCAGUGGGGAAUUUUGGACAAUGGGCGAAAGCCUAAUUCAGCCAUGCCGCGUGCAGGAUGAAGGCCUUCGGGUUGUAAACUGCUUUUGUACGGAACGAAAAGGUUUGGCCUAAUAAGCUGAGCUCAUGACGGUACCGUAAGAAUAAGCACCGGCUAACUACGUGCCAGCAGCCGCCGUAA
RNAcentral lists this ribosomal RNA (500 nucleotides) under uncultured bacterium. RNAcentral describes it as "partial 16S ribosomal RNA". It matches the Rfam family "Bacterial small subunit ribosomal RNA", at positions 30 to 523 of the family's 1533-position model. The record is from RNAcentral.